Molecule: long non-coding RNA, 497 nt
Organism: Salvelinus sp. IW2-2015
Lineage: Eukaryota; Metazoa; Chordata; Actinopteri; Salmoniformes; Salmonidae
Source: RefSeq, a predicted model, not a curated record
CAACUAGGCUCAGUGGGUGACAGGUAACUGUGUUUCCACCAAGCUGUUCCAGGCCUGGAGUGGCACCCUGGAACUUCUAGAGGCUUGUAGACUUGAAGCUGUGUGAUGUGGUCCAGAUCUGACACCCCUAUUAGCUCAACCACAGCCCUCAUAGCUGCAGUCUUCUGCUCCUGCACCUGCUACACUGGCCGCGACAGGUGAUACAGAUCUGCCACCCUUAGCAGUUCAGCUGCAUUCACAGCAGUCCCCUGCUGUGGUAUUUAUUUUACUGGCUGCACCAGGUCCUACUACACUGGCCGUGAAGGGAGAAACUUUUAAGGAUUCUCAGAUGGAAUCAGAUCUACCAUGCACUCCACCACUGCCCGACAGCCUCUCCCAGACGUGCAUACACUGGGCCUAUCAAGACUGACAAAGCAGAGAUGGGUGAGUGACAAGGAAAAAUAAAACACAACAUGCACACACACUCUCUCGCUGUCACACACACACACACACACACA